Long non-coding RNA from Cololabis saira (Pacific saury), 207 nucleotides. RefSeq lists it as uncharacterized. The transcript has 3 exons. The record is from RefSeq and is a predicted model, not a curated record. Lineage: Eukaryota; Metazoa; Chordata; Actinopteri; Beloniformes; Belonidae.
CAGAGAUCGCAACAUGAAGCGAGACUGGGAUUUGCUUCAUUCACAGAUCUGACUCAACGCCGGCUGACCCCGUGUACAGGCAGACGACAUAUUCCUCCGACGCGCAGGUUGAAAGAGACAGACGAGAAAAAGCCUGCAGCUCUUGCAGACUCGUUUCUCUGCUCUCUUACCGGUGCACGCCUGAGACUCCCACACUUGGUCCGGACA